CAAUCUAAUGUUUCACUUAAGAAUCCUCAAUUUGAGAAUACCAAAGCAAUUUCUAAGCUUAGAAGUGGUAAGAUUCUUAAGGACCCCUAUCAAGACCUGAUGAGAGAGACUAGUACUGAUGCUAGCCAAAAUAAGAAUUUGAAAGAAGAAGUUAGUACUGAGACUAACCCAAUAGAAGAAUUUGAGUUUGAAAUUAUUACUGAUUUGAGUGAAAAAGAUAA
RNAcentral lists this long non-coding RNA (221 nucleotides) under Elaeis guineensis (African oil palm). Its description in RNAcentral is "long non-coding RNA (EGUI_LNC037683)". Lineage: Eukaryota; Viridiplantae; Streptophyta; Magnoliopsida; Arecales; Arecaceae. The record is from RNAcentral.